Molecule: unclassified non-coding RNA, 532 nt
Filed under: Hevea brasiliensis (rubber tree)
Lineage: Eukaryota; Viridiplantae; Streptophyta; Magnoliopsida; Malpighiales; Euphorbiaceae
Source: RNAcentral
ACCUCCCCUUGUGAGCUAGCUUUUAAGGUGGAGUUAGGCAAAUUCAUAUCAGUAUUUUAAGCACUUUAUUCAAAAAUAGAAUUAUUCAAGUCUAGUUUUACUCAAGGUUGAGUUCCUUAAACGCUCAGAGAUCGGAAGGUUCUCUCUAACAAACCUUCAUUUUACAUUCACAAUAGGUAACAAAGGGAAAGGCCAUAAAACUAACAAGCCGCAAUCCAGCAGUAUCCUAUUAGAUUUCCCUAUGAAUAGCCCAUGUACUCAAUCUCAGACUUAGGAGUCAGGACCAUAACAAAAUACCUUUUUCAUCUAGGUAUUUUAGUAGAGACUUUCCUUCUGACAAUACGAGAAUUGAAAUUAUAAAUAAAUACAAAAUUUGAGAAAAUUGUUUCUCAUCCCCUUUUGAGUGUUAUAUUGUGUUCUACAUCACAGAUUGACUUUUAAGUUACAUCAUUAUUGGCAAGAUGUACGCACAAUUAAAAAGUAAGUAGGUAAAAGAUACAGACAUAAGAAACCUACUUGCAACUCUUCCACA